ACUCAUUCGUCAUCUCACACUUCCUGAUGGAGUGCCGGGACACCCCGCGAUGGCAAGCUCCUUACAAGAGCUGAACCCCACUACCAGGAGGAGCUUUGGGGUGCCAGGCAGCUCAGAGUGCAAGGACCUGGUCCAGAGGGAAGAGAGGAGUGAGGCAGAGCCUGAGACCCAGGAAAGAAAGCUCGCUCCCGGGACCCC
Symphalangus syndactylus (siamang) is the source of this 198-nucleotide long non-coding RNA. RefSeq lists it as uncharacterized. The record is from RefSeq and is a predicted model, not a curated record. Lineage: Eukaryota; Metazoa; Chordata; Mammalia; Primates; Hylobatidae.